Xenopus tropicalis (tropical clawed frog) is the source of this 664-nucleotide long non-coding RNA. RefSeq lists it as uncharacterized. The record is from RefSeq and is a predicted model, not a curated record. The transcript is spliced from 2 exons. Lineage: Eukaryota; Metazoa; Chordata; Amphibia; Anura; Pipidae.
GCAGGUUAGUGCCAAGCAAGUGUGGCUGCCUGGUACCAACCACCGACGAGAAAGUCACCGAAUUCACCAGUCUGGCUCCCCAAUUCUGUCUCACACUGUUGCUUCAGCCUUGGCCAAGGUGUAUCUUAGGCAACUUGUACCUGCUGUGCACUUCCCAAGGGCACCAUGCUUAAUGAUUCUUCCCAGAAGAAUGCUUCUUACGACUCAAGAUGACAAGGCCCACCAGAAGGGUGUUCUACAUCAGUAAGACAUGGACUGUUGGUGGUGACUGUAGGAGGCUUCUGUCACCUAUUUUAGUUAUAUCCAGAAUGUUUCUGGCGCAUUGCUUAAAGGCCUAUUCUCUUCUGUGUUUGCAACUUUGAAGCAGUUAGGACAUUAGACCUUAGAAACCAAAGUGAUGUUUAAAUUGCAAACCAAAUACCCAAAGAACAACAAAGUAGUAUAAUAAAAAAAAAAUGCCUAAAGAACUUGCCCCUGCCGUUUAUUGUUAGGUGGCCUAGAUACCUACAACUGUUUCUUGAGCUGAAUAGUAUGGGUUUAAAAUAUGUCAGUACCUGCAGUUUAAUACAUUCUUAAAGCAUAAUUAAAGGGGUUAUUUCCAAACAUCUUUGUCAAUACAUAUAUUUUCAGAUUGUUCACCAGAAAUAAAGACUUCUUCAGUUGC